AGAGUUAAAUAGUACGUGAAAUUGUUGAAAGGGAAACGAUUGAAGUCAGUCAUGCCGGCGGGAAUCAACUUAGGGGAAACUUUAAGUGCACUUCACGUUUGGCAGGUUAGCGUCGAUUUUGGAUGUCAUAAAAUGAUUGGGGGAAGGUAGCUCCUUCGGGAGUGUUAUAGCCCUUGAUAGAUAUGAUGUUUGAGAUCGAGGAUUGCAACGGAUACCCUUUGGGCUAGCCGCCUGAUCUCUAACUGGUGUUGGGUUACGGACAGCAUGCUGACCGUGAUCUAAUUAUUGGUUAAAAGGUUAGAGCGAGUGUAAAUUCGUUAAGGACGCUGACGUAAUGGCUUUAAACGA
This 348-nucleotide unclassified non-coding RNA is filed under the name uncultured Glomeromycotina. RNAcentral's name for it is "sequence contains 28S rRNA gene". The record is from RNAcentral. Lineage: Eukaryota; Fungi; Glomeromycota.